This 253-nucleotide ribosomal RNA is filed under the name uncultured bacterium. RNAcentral describes it as "partial 16S ribosomal RNA". It matches the Rfam family "Bacterial small subunit ribosomal RNA", at positions 524 to 776 of the family's 1533-position model. The record is from RNAcentral.
UACGUAGGGUGCAAGCGUUAAUCGGAAUUACUGGGCGUAAAGCGUGCGCAGGCGGUUAUAUAAGACAGAUGUGAAAUCCCCGGGCUCAACCUGGGAACUGCAUUUGUGGCUGUAUAGCUAGAGUACGGUAGAGGGGGAUGGAAUUCCGCGUGUAGCAGUGAAAUGCGUAGAUAUGCGGAGGAACACCGAUGGCGAAGGCAAUCCCCUGGACCUGUACUGACGCUCAUGCACGAAAGCGUGGGGAGCAAACAGG